Peromyscus eremicus (cactus mouse) is the source of this 361-nucleotide long non-coding RNA. RefSeq lists it as uncharacterized. The record is from RefSeq and is a predicted model, not a curated record. The transcript is spliced from 3 exons. NCBI's taxonomy places the organism in Eukaryota, Metazoa, Chordata, Mammalia, Rodentia, Cricetidae.
UAGGUUACAGUUGGAGAAAAAUCAGAAAUAUUAUCGAAUUAGAAACAUGAAGUUACACUUGUAAUAGACUUCAGAGAUCAUUUGGGUCUUUCACUGAGAAUCAGGAACUUGAGGAUUAAGCUGACCAACAGUAUGCCAAAAAGUCAGGACUGAGCAGGAAACAGCCCUCACUAAUGCUGGAAGAUGUCUCCAGCAUUAUUCACACCACAGCCUGAGCUAAACACCAGACUGAACAUGGGAGACAGCAAGAAGUAGUUGGGAGACAGAGAGGAGCCCUGCUGGGGCAGGGGAGAAAAACAGCCAUUGUGUCAAAAGUCCAGAGGCUUCUGGGAUCUUGAUGCAACUGGCAGUAUCAGUUCCC